UACGAAGGGUGCAAACGUUGCUCGGAAUCACUGGGCGUAAAGCGUCUGCAGGUGGUUUCCUAAGUCCACUGUUAAACCUUGAGGCUCAACCUCAAAUCUGCAUUGGAAACUAGGAGACUUGAGUAUAGUAGGGGUAGAGGGAAUUUCCAGUGGAGCGGUGAAAUGCGUAGAUAUUGGAAAGAACACCGAUGGCGAAGGCACUCUACUGGGCUAUUACUGACACUCAGAGACGAAAGCUAGGGGAGCAAAUGGG
This 253-nucleotide ribosomal RNA is filed under the name uncultured bacterium. RNAcentral describes it as "partial 16S ribosomal RNA". It matches the Rfam family "Bacterial small subunit ribosomal RNA", at positions 524 to 776 of the family's 1533-position model. The record is from RNAcentral.